RNAcentral lists this ribosomal RNA (1216 nucleotides) under human gut metagenome. RNAcentral's name for it is "bacterial LSU rRNA". It matches the Rfam family "Bacterial large subunit ribosomal RNA", at positions 788 to 1987 of the family's 2925-position model. The record is from RNAcentral.
GUUGAAAAAUUAGCGGAUGACUUGUGGCUGGGGGUGAAAGGCCAAUCAAACCGGGAGAUAGCUGGUUCUCCCCGAAAUCUAUUUAGGUAGAGCCUUGAGCGGACACCUUCGGGGGUAGAGCACUGUUUCGGCUAGGGGUCCAUCCCGGAUUACCAACCCGAUGCAAACUACGAAUACCGAAGAGUGAUACUCAGGAGACACACGGCGGGUGCUAACGUCCGUCGUGGAGAGGGAAACAACCCAGACCGCCAGCUAAGGUCCCAAAGUCUAUAUUAAGUGGGAAACGAAGUGGGAAGGCUUAGACAGCUAGGAUGUUGGCUUAGAAGCAGCCAUCAUUUAAAGAAAGCGUAAUAGCUCACUAGUCGAGUCGGCCUGCGCGGAAGAUGUAACGGGGCUCAAAUAUAGCACCGAAGCUGCGGCAUCAGUAGCAAUACUGUUGGGUAGGGGAGCGUUCUGUAAGCGGAUGAAGAUGGCUCGAGAGGGCUGUUGGACGUAUCAGAAGUGCGAAUGCUGACAUAAGUAACGAUAAAACGGGUGAAAAACCCGUUCGCCGGAAGACCAAGGGUUCCUGUCCAACGUUAAUCGGGGCAGGGUGAGUCGGCCCCUAAGGCGAGGCUGAAAAGCGUAGUCGAUGGGAAACGGGUUAAUAUUCCCGUACUUGGAUAAACUGCGAUGUGGGGACGGAGCAGGUUAGGUUAUCGCACUGUUGGAUAUGUGCGUUUAAGUUGGUAGGUGUGAAGUUUAGGCAAAUCCGGACUUCUUUAACACCGAGAGAUGAUGACGAGGCUCUACGGAGCUGAAGUAACCGAUACCACACUUCCAGGAAAAGCCACUAAGCUUCAGGUUUAUCUAAACCGUACUGAAAACCGACACAGGUGGUCAGGUAGAGAAUACUCAGGCGCUUGAGAGAACUCGGGUGAAGGAACUAGGCAAAAUAGCACCGUAACUUCGGGAGAAGGUGCGCCGGCGUAGAUUGUAGUCCCUUGCGGAUGAAGGUUGAACCGGUCGAAGAUACCAGCUGGCUGCAACUGUUUAUUAAAAACACAGCACUCUGCAAACACGAAAGUGGACGUAUAGGGUGUGAUGCCUGCCCGGUGCUGGAAGGUUAAUUGAUGGUGUAAUCGAAAGAGAAGCUCCUGAUCGAAGCCCCAGUAAACGGCGGCCGUAACUAUAACGGUCCUAAGGUAGCGAAAUUCCUUGUCGGGUAAGUUCCGAC